This 434-nucleotide ribosomal RNA is filed under the name uncultured bacterium. RNAcentral's name for it is "partial 16S ribosomal RNA". It matches the Rfam family "Bacterial small subunit ribosomal RNA", at positions 29 to 507 of the family's 1533-position model. The record is from RNAcentral.
AGUGAACGCUGGCGGUAGGCCUAACACAUGCAAGUCGAACGACCCUUUCGUGGGUAGUUGCGGUCAGGUGAGGAACGCGGGGGAACGGUGCGUUAUGCUCCGGAAAACACAUUGACACGGGGGAUAACGCCGGAUGACUCCCGCGGGUGCAAGAUUUAUCGCCCUUAGAGAGGCCCGCGUCUGAUUAGCUAGUUGGGUGAGGUAAUGGCGCACCAAGGUGACCUUCAUUAGCUGGUCUGAGAGGAUGAUCAGCCACAUUGGGACUGAGACACGGCCCAAACUCCUACGGGAGGCAGCAGUGGGGAAUCUUGCGCAAUGGGCGAAAGCCUGACGCAGCCAUGCCGCGUGAAUGAUGAAGGUCUUAGGAUUGUAAAAUUCUUUCACCGGGGACGAUAAUGACGGUACCCGGAGAAGAAGCCCCGGCUAACUUCGUG